CCUACGGGAGGCUGCAGUGGGGAAUAUUGGACAAUGGGCGAAAGCCUGAUCCAGCCAUGCCGCGUGUGUGAAGAAGGCCUUCGGGUUGUAAAGCACUUUCAGUGGGGAAGAAAGCCUUGGGGCUAAUACCCUCGAGGAAGGACAUCACCCACAGAAGAAGCACCGGCUAACUCCGUGCCAGCAGCCGCGGUAAUACGGAGGGUGCGAGCGUUAAUCGGAAUUACUGGGCGUAAAGCGCGCGUAGGCGGUCUGAUAAGCCGGUUGUGAAAGCCCCGGGCUCAACCUGGGAACGGCAUCCGGAACUGUCAGGCUAGAGUGCAGGAGAGGAAGGUAGAAUUCCCGGUGUAGCGGUGAAAUGCGUAGAGAUCGGGAGGAAUACCAGUGGCGAAGGCGGCCUUAUGGACUGACACUGACGCUGAGGUGCGAAAGCGUGGGUAGCAAACAGGAUUAGAUACCCGAGUAGU
This 464-nucleotide ribosomal RNA is filed under the name Vreelandella stevensii. Its description in RNAcentral is "partial 16S ribosomal RNA". It matches the Rfam family "Bacterial small subunit ribosomal RNA", at positions 338 to 794 of the family's 1533-position model. The record is from RNAcentral. Lineage: Bacteria; Pseudomonadati; Pseudomonadota; Gammaproteobacteria; Oceanospirillales; Halomonadaceae.